Molecule: long non-coding RNA, 2010 nt
Filed under: Rattus norvegicus (Norway rat)
Lineage: Eukaryota; Metazoa; Chordata; Mammalia; Rodentia; Muridae
Description: long non-coding RNA NONRATT024353
Source: RNAcentral
CAGACGGUUGUAGCCAAAGAUGCCUAUGUGACGGAAGCACCACGCAGUCCUGAAGACGUGUGCCGGGACACCCGGGGCUCCUUCACGCGUGGACAGGGCACGCUGCUGUUUUGUUCUUCCAGGAGCUUCCCAGGGAGCUCUGGGAUUCACUUGCGCCCGUGGUUCAUUUGCAGUUUACAAAGCUGGUAUAUGUUAAGAACCAGUGGAAAUGUCUCAGAAGACGUUUGUUUGGUUGUGUUUUCUUUGUUGGUUUUUAACGGUGGUGAACAGAUGGCAAUGCCCGUUUCUGCUUUAACAAGAUACCCUAACUGUACGUAUAUGUUGUACAUAUCUAGAUACAUGGGACUGUGUGUGUCUGUAUGUGUUUGAAGCUUCGUGACUCUUCAUUUGGACUUCCAUGUAUGUCUUGCACACAUAGAAUUCCUUGUUUAAUGUCGAGGAUACUUAGCCACAGACAAUCAGUUGAUAAAUGUAGAGGUAAGAGUGACUUUUUCCUUGUGUGCCUUUGGCCAAGAUUCUCAACCCUGAUUGCAUAACAGACUUAUCAGGGGAGCUUUUAAAACAUGCCUGGGUCCCACCCCGGGCCGGUUUAAACCAGUCUCCUCUGGGUGGGAGAUUGAUUUACGUUUUCCCAGGUAGAGACAGUAAUGCACAAGUAGGACUGGGGACCACUAAUCCGAGUGUGUCUUUCUAUUCAUUUGGAAGUAAAAGUGUACAGAGGACAUUGGUGAUGGAGAACGGGCCAUUUUUAAGACAGUUACUGGCCUGCUGCUGUUAUAGCGUAUAAUGAAACCAAGCCAGGAGAACGAGUUUAUCAACGUUGAAGGGUCGCUCGCCCUUCAGGAGAGAACUUCAUAGCACAAUGUCUUUCUAGGAGAUGUUUUUAAUGAUUUAGUAUUUUACAACAUUUGUUUACCAUAUUUUGAUACUCCAUUUUUGCUAUCUGCCAGGUUUUAUUAAAAAGAGGACUAUGUAUUAUUUUCUAAAGAAACUCAUAUUUUUGUACAAAAUUAUGUUUCCAAGUAAGGAAGAAGUAGAUUUAGGGUAAGGCAGAACAUAAGCAGUGUUUGCCCGUGGAUGGGUCAGUGUUCCAAAGCCCGUGGUGGCCACAGGCGUGCCCCACCAUACUGCCCUCCUGUGCUGGCACGGCCUCAGCAGCAUCUCACCCAGUAACUCUCACCUGACACUUUAAAGAAGGAAAAAGAAGUUCUGUGGUCAUGACUUUAUUUUGCUUUUGUCGAACGCUUUUAGAAGAACCAAAGUUUCAAACGCCAGAAUGUCUAAGUGUCUUGGUGUCCUCACGGAAGGUGGAAGGGCGAAGGGGUCAGUCACCUGACGGCUUCCUUUGCUUCCGAGUCAUUACACAAUCGCAUCAUAACCCAGACGCUUAGGGCCCAGACCCUGUUAAGGGGCGUGCCCUCCCAAGCUCUGAUUGUGGAGCUGUGCGCCCCGCAGCCCUCAGCGUCUCUUGCAGAUGCAAAGUGGUGAAGUUGCUUAAUCGAAUAGGUUGUACCUUUUCCUCUCUGCUCCAGAACCCAGGCUUCAGGGCUCUGCCCAGGCUGCCACUCCUCAGCUGCCCUCCUCCAGGCCGGCAGGAACAGUCUUACAGAUUUUCAAAGACAAAGACAGCCAGGGAACAGUUUCUAGUUUCUGACCCACGGUAGAGUCACACAGACAUAGGUGGAGAUCCACUCUGAAGACCUGACAUUUUUUGUAUUGGGGAAUCGUCAUCAAAAACAAAAAGAGGGAAGUAGAAAGCUGUCGCUCACGCUCGCUCGCUAGCACGCCCGUUGCUGGGGGAUGUGCCUCCCUGCCUCUUCUGCAUCUGCAUUUGAGCUUUGUAUCUCAGUAAGCUGCAAACAGUCCUUUCUGUGAAAGGAUCGUCAUGUCGGGAUGAUAACUGAAAGUAUGUUAAAAAAAAGAAAAGAAAAGCGGUGUUAUUUUGUAAUUAUUUCUUAUAGGUGUUUCAUGGUAAGAUCAACAGUCAAUAAAGUUAACUUUUUUGCCUUU